Long non-coding RNA from Poecilia latipinna (sailfin molly), 379 nucleotides. RefSeq lists it as uncharacterized. The record is from RefSeq and is a predicted model, not a curated record. Lineage: Eukaryota; Metazoa; Chordata; Actinopteri; Cyprinodontiformes; Poeciliidae. The transcript has 2 exons.
UCUAUAUGGCUCAUUUCCUGUGCAAGGAUCAAUAAUAUAUUGGGUAGCAUAUGAGGCAGCUUUGGAUUGAAAUAUGCCACAGAAAGCACAUCUGAAACGUUUCUUCAUACAGCUUGGCCAAUUAUGUAUCUAUACAUUCUGUUAAUAAACUUUAUAGAGCAUCAGCUGUGUGCACAUUUCUAAGUCAUGAAUAUGAACACGUUCUGUAUCUUUUAGGACAAAUCAGUCCAUCUAACGAUUCUGGUGCUGAACUGGGCUCAUCUCCUAGUACCAGCAGUCAAGAGUGACACGAGUCUGACUACUUCACUUUCUCAACUGUCUGGAACCAGAUUUACCAGAAUACAUAAAAUAAUUUUAUCAUGACAUUGUAUAGAAACUU